RNAcentral lists this ribosomal RNA (491 nucleotides) under uncultured bacterium. RNAcentral's name for it is "partial 16S ribosomal RNA". It matches the Rfam family "Bacterial small subunit ribosomal RNA", at positions 30 to 507 of the family's 1533-position model. The record is from RNAcentral.
AUUGAACGCUGGCGGCAGGCUUAACACAUGCAAGUCGAGCGGUAACAGAGAGAAGCUUGCUUCUCUGCUGACGAGCGGCGGACGGGUGAGUAAUGCCUAGGAAUCUGCCUAGUAGUGGGGGAUAACUUGCCGAAAGGUAAGCUAAUACCGCAUACGUCCUACUGGAGAAAGGAGGGGACCUUCGGGCCUUUCGCUAUUAGAUGAGCCUAGGUCGGAUUAGUUAGUUGGUGAGGUAAUGGCUCACCAAGACCGCGAUCCGUAACUGGUCUGAGAGGAUGAUCAGUCACACUGGAACUGGGACACGGUCCAGACUCCUACGGGAGGCAGCAGUGGGGAAUAUUGGACAAUGGGGGGGAACCCUGAUCCAGCCAUGCCGCGUGUGUGAAGAAGGUCUUAGGAUUGUGAAGCACUUUAAGUUGGGAGGAAGAGCAGUUAACUAAUAUUUGACUGUUUUGACGUUACCGACAGAAUAAGCACCGGCUAACUUCGUG